CCUCUGCAAGAUUCUGAAAUUAUUUCUUACUUACUUGCUGGUUUGAGCUCAGAUUAUGAUUCCUUUGUCACUUCUGUUACCACAAGGGUGGAACCAAUGACCUUGAAUGAUUUAUAUGGUCAUUUACUAACAUUUGAGC
Non-coding RNA from Corchorus olitorius, 139 nucleotides. Lineage: Eukaryota; Viridiplantae; Streptophyta; Magnoliopsida; Malvales; Malvaceae. The record is from Rfam.